GCCGCCGGGGCUUCUCCUCUGAAGGGUGGGCGGAGAGCUUAGCGAGAGCCCGGGCGUUUGCAACUUUUCUUCACUUUCUCUUCCACCGCCCCCCGAAAGAGGGAAAAAAAAAUGUCGACAGGGAUGAAGAAGUUGAGAGCCUAUUGAGUCUGGCUAGCACUGCCUGCAUGCACAUGACUGUGGAGCCAUCCACUGGAGCCUGGGUAACGUAACAAUAGACACACUCCUAAAGAAAAAUGACUCUCCUGCUCAUCAAUUGAACUUGUGGAUUGCCAACAGUUCCUCGGCUGUGGGAAAGCCUCGUGAACUCCUCUCCCCUCCAGGCUGGAAUGUUGACUGACUUGAUCUCAUGCAGGUCUUGUGCUGGUAAGCACAGCUGUUGUGAGCUCAUGAGUGCCAUAGCCAUGCCAUGCCCAUAAAAGCAUUUCACAGCACCCCUCCCUGACCUUCCACUCUUGCGUUAUUUCUGCCCCAUCUUCCUUGACAGUCCUUGAGUUGUGGGUGGAGGGGUUGUAGGACUGAUAUAAACGUCCCGUUUGGGGGUGAGCUCUCAAGAGUCCCUUAUCCUCAGCAUUUUGACCAGUAAUCAGGUUGAGAGCAGCACUAAUGUAUGGUUAUAAAUGUAAAUAUUUUAGAAGGCUGUUUGACAGCAUGUCCAUUUAGCAAAUAAGAGUAGAGGUUCCUCUAUAGCCAUGAGCUUUAGACCAUAGUACCAGGCAUGGAUUGUCUCCUGUAGAGAGAAUUCCUUCCUCAAAUCUAAGCAGGAAACAGUUGGUUAUCUCCACAGUAGCUAUGCUGCUAUUGCACAGGUAGGCACACUUUGCCUGGCAGGCCGGCGUUGUAAUAUGCAGGAUCCACUGCUGGGUAAAUCCACUGAUGGCUCUUCUUCCCUAGUGGGGCUGCAGAGUAUCUUCCAGCACUGUGAAACAUGACCAGCAGGGAAAAGGUUUUCAGGUCAGUCCUUCAUUGAUUUCUUCAUGUCCUGCAACCAACGUGUGUUAUAUCUUCAACAAUAAGGUUUAGCCAUUAGAAAGACCUUUGCAAAGCAGUGCCAUUCGUCUUGGACAGGUAUGACUAAGUUUAUAAAAACCAUCCAUGGGGCUGGAGAAAUGGCUCAGCGGUUAAAAGCACUGACUCCCAAAAGUCCUGAGUUCAAAUCCCAGCAACCACAUGGU
Molecule: long non-coding RNA, 1175 nt
Filed under: Mus musculus (house mouse)
Lineage: Eukaryota; Metazoa; Chordata; Mammalia; Rodentia; Muridae
Description: RIKEN cDNA 1700055D16 gene (1700055D16Rik)
Source: RNAcentral